CUUAAACAUGCAAGUCGAACGAGAAAGCUCUUUCGGGAGCGAGUAAAGUGGCGGACGGGUGAGGAACGCGUAGGAAUCUGCCUAGUAGUGGGGGAUAACUCGGGGAAACUCGAGCUAAUACCGCAUACACUCUGAGGAGAAAAGCGGGGGACCUUUAGGCCUCGCGCUAUUAGAGGAGCCUGCGUUAGAUUAGUUUGUUGGUGAGGUAAUGGCUCACCAAGACUACGAUCUAUAGCUGGUCUGAGAGGACGAUCAGCCACACUGGAACUGAGACACGGUCCAGACUUCUACGGAAGGCAGCAGUUAGGAAUAUUGCGCAAUGGGCGAAAGCCUGACGCAGCGAUGCCGCGUGUGUGAAGAAGGCUCUAGGGUUGUAAAGCACUUUCAGUCGUGAAGAAAUUUAUUUUGUUAAUACCGAAAUGAUUUGACGUUAACGACAGAAGAAGUACCGGCUAACUCCGUGCCAGCAGCCGCGGUAAUACGGAGGGUACGAACGUUAAUCGGAAUUACUGGGCGUAAAGCGCGCGUAGGCGGUUUGGUAAGUGGGAUGUGAAAGCCCCGGGCUCAACCUGGGAACUGCAUUCCAAACUGGCAAACUAGAGUGUGGUAGAGGGAAGUAGAAUUUGAUGUGUAGCGGUGAAAAUGCGUAGAUAUAUCAAGGAAUACCAAUGGCGAAGGCAGCUUCCUGGACUAACACUGACGCUGAGGUGCGAAAGCGUGGGGGAGCAAACAGGAUUAGAUACCCUGGUAGUCCACGCCGUAAACGAUGAGAACUAGCCGUUGGGAGGUUCGCCUCUUAGUGGCGCAGCUAACGCAAUAAGUNUCC
RNAcentral lists this ribosomal RNA (826 nucleotides) under uncultured Gammaproteobacteria bacterium. Its description in RNAcentral is "SSU rRNA". It matches the Rfam family "Bacterial small subunit ribosomal RNA", at positions 48 to 869 of the family's 1533-position model. The record is from RNAcentral. Lineage: Bacteria; Pseudomonadati; Pseudomonadota; Gammaproteobacteria.